RNAcentral lists this ribosomal RNA (773 nucleotides) under Streptococcus anginosus. Its description in RNAcentral is "bacterial SSU rRNA". It matches the Rfam family "Bacterial small subunit ribosomal RNA", at positions 28 to 776 of the family's 1533-position model. The record is from RNAcentral. Lineage: Bacteria; Bacillati; Bacillota; Bacilli; Lactobacillales; Streptococcaceae.
GACGAACGCUGGCGGCGUGCCUAAUACAUGCAAGUAGGACGCACAGUUUAUACCGUAGCUUGCUACACCAUAGACUGUGAGUUGCGAACGGGUGAGUAACGCGUAGGUAACCUGCCUAUUAGAGGGGGAUAACUAUUGGAAACGAUAGCUAAUACCGCAUAACAGUAUGUAACACAUGUUAGAUGCUUGAAAGAUGCAAUUGCAUCGCUAGUAGAUGGACCUGCGUUGUAUUAGCUAGUAGGUAGGGUAAUGGCCUACCUAGGCGACGAUACAUAGCCGACCUGAGAGGGUGAUCGGCCACACUGGGACUGAGACACGGCCCAGACUCCUACGGGAGGCAGCAGUAGGGAAUCUUCGGCAAUGGGGGGAACCCUGACCGAGCAACGCCGCGUGAGUGAAGAAGGUUUUCGGAUCGUAAAGCUCUGUUGUUAAGGAAGAACGAGUGUGAAAAUGGAAAGUUCAUACUGUGACGGUACCUAACCAGAAAGGGACGGCUAACUACGUGCCAGCAGCCGCGGUAAUACGUAGGUCCCGAGCGUUGUCCGGAUUUAUUGGGCGUAAAGCGAGCGCAGGCGGUUAGAAAAGUCUGAAGUGAAAGGCAGUGGCUCAACCAUUGUAGGCUUUGGAAACUGUUUAACUUGAGUGCAGAAGGGGAGAGUGGAAUUCCAUGUGUAGCGGUGAAAUGCGUAGAUAUAUGGAGGAACACCGGUGGCGAAAGCGGCUCUCUGGUCUGUAACUGACGCUGAGGCUCGAAAGCGUGGGGAGCGAACAGG